This 253-nucleotide ribosomal RNA is filed under the name uncultured bacterium. RNAcentral describes it as "partial 16S ribosomal RNA". It matches the Rfam family "Bacterial small subunit ribosomal RNA", at positions 524 to 776 of the family's 1533-position model. The record is from RNAcentral.
UACGAAGGGGGCUAGCGUUGCUCGGAAUUACUGGGCGUAAAGCGCACGUAGGCGGCUUUCUAAGUCGGGGGUGAAAUCCUGGAGCUCAACUCCAGAACUGCCUUCGAUACUGGAAAGCUCGAGUCCGGGAGAGGUGAGUGGAACUGCGAGUGUAGAGGUGAAAUUCGUAGAUAUUCGCAAGAACACCAGUGGCGAAGGCGGCUCACUGGCUCGAUACUGACGCUGAGGUGCGAAAGCGUGGGGAGCAAACAGG